CAGGGGAGAGCGCGAACGCAGUCCCCCACUACCACAAAUUAUGCAGUCGAGUUUCCCGCAUUUGGGGAAAUCGCAGGGGUCAGCACAUCCGGAGUGCAAUGGAUAAGCCUCGCCCUGGGAAAACCACCUUCAUGAUCAUGGUAUCUCCCCUGCCAGGUAAGUAU
RNAcentral lists this small nuclear RNA (164 nucleotides) under Cricetulus griseus (Chinese hamster). RNAcentral's name for it is "U1 spliceosomal RNA". Lineage: Eukaryota; Metazoa; Chordata; Mammalia; Rodentia; Cricetidae. The record is from RNAcentral.